UUUACACAUGCAAGUCGAACGGCAGCACGGGAGCUUGCUCCUGGUGGCGAGUGGCGAACGGGUGAGUAAUGCGUCGGAACGUACCGAGUAAUGGGGGAUAACGCACCGAAAGGUGUGCUAAUACCGCAUACGCCCUCCGGGGGAAAGCAGGGGAUCGUAAGACCUUGCGUUAUUCGAGCGGCCGACGUCUGAUUAGCUAGUUGGUGGGGUAAAGGCCUACCAAGGCGACGAUCAGUAGCGGGUCUGAGAGGAUGAUCCGCCACACUGGAACUGAGACACGGUCCAGACUCCUACGGGAGGCAGCAGUGGGGAAUUUUGGACAAUGGGGGCAACCCUGAUCCAGCCAUUCCGCGUGAGUGAAGAAGGCCUUCGGGUUGUAAAGCUCUUUCAGCUGGAACGAAACGGUACGCUCUAACAUAGCGUGCUAAUGACGGUACCAGCAGAAGAAGCACCGGCUAACUACGUGCCAGCAGCCGCGGUAAUACGUAGGGUGCGAGCGUUAAUCGGAAUUACUGGGCGUAAAGCGUGCGCAGGCGGAUUGUUAAGCAAGACGUGAAAUCCCCGGGCUUAACCUGGGAAUGGCGUUUUGAACUGGCAGUCUAGAGUGUGUCAGAGGGGGGUAGAAUUCCACGUGUAGCAGUGAAAUGCGUAGAGAUGUGGAGGAAUACCAAUGGCGAAGGCAGCCCCCUGAGAU
This 694-nucleotide ribosomal RNA is filed under the name uncultured soil bacterium. RNAcentral describes it as "bacterial SSU rRNA". It matches the Rfam family "Bacterial small subunit ribosomal RNA", at positions 48 to 735 of the family's 1533-position model. The record is from RNAcentral.